AACGAACGCUGGCGGCAUGCCUAACACAUGCAAGUCGAACGAGAUCUUCGGGUCUAGUGGCGCACGGGUGCGUAACGCGUGGGAAUCUGCCCUUUGGUUCGGAAUAACAGUUGGAAACGACUGCUAAUAUCGGAUGAUGACGAAAGUCCAAAGAUUUAUCGCCAGAGGAUGAGCCCUCGGAGGAUUAGCUAGUUGGUGGGGUAAAGGCGCACCAAGGCGACGAUCCGUAGCUGGUCUGAGAGGAUGAUCAGCCACACUGGGACUGAGACACGGCCCAGACUCCUAGGGGAGGCAGAAGUGGGGAAUAUUGGACAAUGGGCGAAAGCCUGAUCCAGCAAUGCCGCGUGAGUGAUGAAGGCCUUAGGGUUGGAAAGCUCUUUUACCCGGGAUGAUAAUGACAGUACCGGGAGAAUAAGCUCCGGCUAACUCCGUGCCAGCCGCCGCCGUAA
Molecule: ribosomal RNA, 449 nt
Filed under: uncultured bacterium
Lineage: Bacteria
Description: partial 16S ribosomal RNA
Rfam family: Bacterial small subunit ribosomal RNA
Source: RNAcentral